RNAcentral lists this ribosomal RNA (492 nucleotides) under uncultured bacterium. RNAcentral's name for it is "bacterial SSU rRNA". It matches the Rfam family "Bacterial small subunit ribosomal RNA", at positions 355 to 864 of the family's 1533-position model. The record is from RNAcentral.
UGGGGAAUAUUGGACAAUGGGCGCAAGCCUGAUCCAGCCAUGCCGCGUGGAUGAUGAAGGCCCUAGGGUUGUAAAGCACUUUCGACGGGGACGAUGAUGACGGUACCCGUAGAAGAAGCCCCGGCUAACUUCGUGCCAGCAGCCGCGGUAAUACGAAGGGGGCUAGCGUUGCUCGGAAUGACUGGGCGUAAAGGGCGCGUAGGCGGAUUGUACAGUCAGAUGUGAAAUUCCUGGGCUUAACCUGGGGGCUGCAUUUGAUACGUGCGAUCUUGAGUUCGGAAGAGGGUCGUGGAAUUCCCAGUGUAGAGGUGAAAUUCGUAGAUAUUGGGAAGAACACCGGUGGCGAAGGCGGCGACCUGGUCCUGGACUGACGCUGAGGCGCGAAAGCGUGGGGAGCAAACAGGAUUAGAUACCCUGGUAGUCCACGCUGUAAACGAUGUGUGCUGGAUGUUGGGUGACCUAGUCACUCAGUGUCGUAGCUAACGCGAUAAG